CCUACGGGUGGCAGCAGUGAGGAAUAUUGGUCAAUGGGCGCGAGCCUGAACCAGCCAAGUAGCGUGAAGGAUGACUGCCCUACGGGUUGUAAACUUCUUUUAUACAGGAAUAACGUGCGGCACGUGUGCCUGUUUGUAUGUACUUUAUGAAUAAGGAUCGGCUAACUCCGUGCCAGCAGCCGCGGUAAUACGGAGGAUCCGAGCGUUAUCCGGAUUUAUUGGGUUUAAAGGGAGCGUAGGUGGGUUGUUAAGUCAGUUGUGAAAGUUUCCGGCUCAACCGGAGAAUUGCAGUGGAAACUGGCAGUCUUGAGUACAGUGGAGGCAGGCGGAAUUCGUGGUGUAGCGGUGAAAUGCUUAGAUAUGACGAAGAACUCCGAUUGCGAAGGCAGCUUACUAAACUGCCACUGACGUUGAUGCUCGAAAGCGUGGGUAUCAAACAGGAUUAGAUACCCCUGUAGUC
This 460-nucleotide ribosomal RNA is filed under the name uncultured bacterium. RNAcentral's name for it is "partial 16S ribosomal RNA". It matches the Rfam family "Bacterial small subunit ribosomal RNA", at positions 338 to 795 of the family's 1533-position model. The record is from RNAcentral.